CAGCAGCCGCGGGAAUACGAAGGGGGCUAGCGUUGCUCGGAAUCACUGGGCGUAAAGGGUGCGUAGGCGGGUCUUUAAGUCAGGGGUGAAAUCCUGGAGCUCAACUCCAGAACUGCCUUUGAUACUGAAGAUCUUGAGUUCGGGAGAGGUGAGUGGAACUGCGAGUGUAGAGGUGAAAUUCGUAGAUAUUCGCAAGAACACCAGUGGCGAAGGCGGCUUACUGGCCCGAAACUGACGCUGAGGCGCGAAAGCGUGGGGAGCAAACAGGAUUAGAGACCCGUGUAGUCCCUGUCUCUUAUAC
RNAcentral lists this ribosomal RNA (301 nucleotides) under uncultured bacterium. Its description in RNAcentral is "partial 16S ribosomal RNA". It matches the Rfam family "Bacterial small subunit ribosomal RNA", at positions 509 to 807 of the family's 1533-position model. The record is from RNAcentral.